CCGUUCUUGCCACCAUUCCUCCGCGAGAAAACGGCCGAGGACUUCUGGCAUGGGGCCAACUUUGCGGUGGGUGGAGCGACGGCGCUGAGCCGGGACUUCUUCAAGGAGAAAGGAUUUGACGUCACCAAUAUACCGCCAUACUCACUGGACGUGCAGAUGGAGUGGUUCAAGGGCUUGCUCGACUCGCUCGCUACCACAGACAAAGAACGCAUGGAAAUCAUGUCAAAAUCCUUGUUUCUAAUGGGGGAGAUUGGAGGCAAUGACUACGGUUAUCUCUUCACCCAGAACAGAUCAUUCACCAAAGAGAUCAAACCAUUGGUACCAAAAGUUACAGCGAAGAUUGAGAAUGCCAUCAAGGUCCUAAUCAACCUAGGAGCAAAGACGAUUGUUGUUCCAGGAGUUUUUCCAGUAGGGUGUCUUCCACAUUAUCUCGCAAUGUUUCAAAGCAAGUCGGCUCCUGAAGACUAUGAUGCAUUUGGUUGCAUAAUGUGGUUAAACGACUUCUCCAAGUACCGCAAUUGUGCACUCAAGCGCAUGUUGCAGCAAAUCCCCCGAAAUCCUACGGUCACCAUACUCUAUGGUGACUACUCCAAUAACAUCUUAGAGAUCAUCCGUCACCCUGUCAUACACGGGUUUAAGAGAGAGACUGUGUUAGUGCCGUGCUUCAUGAACGGCAAUCUUUGCCCCGACCCAUCUAUAUACAUAUCGUGGGAUGGACUACAUCUCACUGAAGCCGCUUAUAAGUUUGUGGCCCAUCACUUCUUGCAUGACCCUUUUGUUGAAUCGUCCAUAUGUCCCAUAUGA
RNAcentral lists this long non-coding RNA (804 nucleotides) under Oryza sativa Indica Group (long-grained rice). RNAcentral describes it as "lncRNA OsZS97_03G018540". The record is from RNAcentral. Lineage: Eukaryota; Viridiplantae; Streptophyta; Magnoliopsida; Poales; Poaceae.